AGCUGAACUUUAAAAAAAAAACUGGCUGAGUCUUCACCAUGCAUCCAGCUGCAGCUGAUUCAGUCAAAAACGGUUAAUGACAAAAAUAACCCUGCUACACAUAACCCUAAAAUUUUUGAGUUUUCACUCUCAUCUCUCACGUACUCUCUCUUGGCGGCGAACUCUCUGAUCUCCUCCGACCUCUCUCCGGCGAACUCUGAUCUCUCUCAUGGCGACCUCUCCGAUCUCUCUCUCCGGUGACCUCUCCGAUCUCUCUCUCCGGUGACCUCUCUCUCCGGUGACCUCUCUCUCCAGCUAUCUCUCUCAGACGCUCUCUCUCUCUCUCUCUCUCCGGCUCUCUCUUUCUCAGUCUCUCUCUCCGGCUCUCUCUCUCUCUGGGUCUCUCUUCGGCUCUCUCUCUCUCUCUCCAGCUCUCUCUCUCUCUCUCAGACGCUCUCUCUCUCCGGUGACCUCUCUCUCUCUCAGGCGCUUUCUCUCUCUCUCAGGCUCUCUCUCUCAGGCUCCGACGACCUCUCUCUCUCAGUCUCUCUCUACGGCUCUCUCUCUCUCUCUCAGGCGUGCUCUCUCUCCAGCUCUCUCUCUCUCUCUCUCUCUCUCAGGCACUCUCUCUCUCCGGCAACCUCUCUAUCAGGCUCUCUCUCUCUCAGGUAAGAGUUUCUAGGAUCUCUGUAAUCUAUAUCCUAUAAGUUAUGUUGUGGGUUUUGUUUGCAUCUGUAGAUUGUUCAUAAAUUGUUCUUCUUUGGUUGCAUCUCUCUCUCAGGCGUGCUCUCUCUCCAGCUCUCUCUCUCUCUCUCUCAUACGCUCUCUCUCUCUCUGGCAACCUCUCUUUCAGGCUCUCUCUCUCUCAGGUAAGAGUUUCUAGGAUCUCUGUAAUCUAUAUCCUAUAAGUUAUGUUGUGGGUUUUGUUUGCAUCUGUAGAUUGUUCAUAAAUUGUUCUUCUUUGGUUGCAUC
This 951-nucleotide long non-coding RNA is filed under the name Brassica napus (rape). RNAcentral describes it as "long non-coding RNA (BNAP_LNC016427)". Lineage: Eukaryota; Viridiplantae; Streptophyta; Magnoliopsida; Brassicales; Brassicaceae. The record is from RNAcentral.